UACGUAGGGGGCUAGCGUUGUUCGGAAUUACUAGGCGUAAAGCGCACGUAGGCGGAUCGAUCAGUCAGGGGUGAAAUCCCAGGGCUCAACCCUGGAACUGCCUUUGAUACUGUCGAUCUGGAGUAUGGAAGAGGUGAGUGGAAUUCCGAGUGUAGAGGUGAAAUUCGUAGAUAUUCGGAGGAACACCAGUGGCGAAGGCGGCUCACUGGUCCAUUACUGACGCUGAGGUGCGAAAGCGUGGGGAGCAAACAGG
Molecule: ribosomal RNA, 253 nt
Filed under: uncultured bacterium
Lineage: Bacteria
Description: partial 16S ribosomal RNA
Rfam family: Bacterial small subunit ribosomal RNA
Source: RNAcentral